Molecule: unclassified non-coding RNA, 567 nt
Filed under: Aspergillus sp. FLN12d
Lineage: Eukaryota; Fungi; Ascomycota; Eurotiomycetes; Eurotiales; Aspergillaceae
Also listed under: 1 other name
Description: Emericella sp. FLN12d sequence contains 18S rRNA gene, ITS1, 5.8S rRNA gene, ITS2 and 28S rRNA gene
Rfam family: 5.8S ribosomal RNA (bases 186-339)
Source: RNAcentral
UCCGUAGGUGAACCUUGCGGAAGGAUCAUUACCGAGUGCGGGCUGCCUCCGGGCGCCCAACCUCCCACCCGUGACUACCUAACACUGUUGCUUCGGCGGGGAGCCCCCCAGGGGCGAGCCGCCGGGGACCACUGAACUUCAUGCCUGAGAGUGAUGCAGUCUGAGCCUGAAUACAAAUCAGUCAAAACUUUCAACAAUGGAUCUCUUGGUUCCGGCAUCGAUGAAGAACGCAGCGAACUGCGAUAAGUAAUGUGAAUUGCAGAAUUCAGUGAAUCAUCGAGUCUUUGAACGCACAUUGCGCCCCCUGGCAUUCCGGGGGGCAUGCCUGUCCGAGCGUCAUUGCUGCCCUCAAGCCCGGCUUGUGUGUUGGGUCGUCGUCCCCCCCGGGGGACGGGCCCGAAAGGCAGCGGCGGCACCGUGUCCGGUCCUCGAGCGUAUGGGGCUUUGUCACCCGCUCGAUUAGGGCCGGCCGGGCGCCAGCCGGCGUCUCCAACCUUAUUUUUCUCAGGUUGACCUCGGAUCAGGUAGGGAUACCCGCUGAACUUAAGCAUAUCAAUAAGCGGAGGA